This 1244-nucleotide long non-coding RNA is filed under the name Ornithorhynchus anatinus (platypus). RNAcentral's name for it is "lncRNA (ENSOANG00000039196.1)". Lineage: Eukaryota; Metazoa; Chordata; Mammalia; Monotremata; Ornithorhynchidae. The record is from RNAcentral.
AGCCAGGGUAGGUGUCUAGCCUCUCACUGUACAUUAAGUGCUUAAAAAAUAUUGUUACUCCCGCUAUGGUAAUACUAUAGUAUGGUUGGUGUGUGUGUAUUUGUGUGUGUGUAUACUUACAGAGAUACUUAUAUAUACCCUCAUACAUAUACACAACAUAAUGGACUUCUCUGGUUAAGAGAUUCCAAUUUAGGGCUAAUGGAUUUUUUUUAAUCUGAGAGAGCAUAUUUGUCAUCUUUAUUUAACACAUGCUUAGAUAGUCCCAUCCCAAGCUAGAGAAAUCGGUAGGCUAAAAAUGUUAUGAUAGCUAUAUUUUGGCUUAUGCUCUUGUCACUUUUUGUCAGCUUUUGCAACCUGAAAUCUCAAAAACAGUUUUAUAACCCCAGAAAAGCACACAAUAUUCUAACUGAAGUCUCACUGUAGUGACAAUACAAUUUUAGAAUUAAGUGCAAUAUUCCAAAAAUGAUCCAAAGGAUACAUUAUCAAGCUAUGCAUAUGAAAAAACAGUGCUGCAAUCACAAUUAAAGAGAAACUAUUUUUUGCAAGUUUCAUCUUUCAGCUCUUGAAGAGAGGAUGACUGUUGUACCUUACUACUGGCUUUGAAGGGCAACAGGUAAACGGUCACGCUUCUGAUAUUCUUAACGCCUGUGCCUUUCUCGAAGGAAAAGUCCUAACCUCUUCAGUCUGUACUUCAUCAUUUUAGUUCAGAAAAAACAUACUGUGCAAAUAUAUGCCGACCACCCCCUCCUGUCAUUUUGAAAAAUCCCUUGGAUUAAAGCUAAUCUGUGAGUAGAAAGCAUCCCUGACGUUCCCUUAUGACUGAAUAUUGUAAAUCUUAGAAAAACAAUGAGAAAUGGGGACAGCCAUUCUGCCUGACUUCUCCUCGGCAUAACCGGAUCAAGUGAAAUUCCUGUCAAAUUACACGGAAAGGUGAGGAGAGGUUAUUAGCCUAUUUUUGCUAAAAGGGAAAGAAGGACUUUUUGUCACUAACACAUGAGGUCUCCUGAAGGAACACAGGAAAAUAGUGGCAGGUUAGGGAACUAGAGAGCCCCGUUAAUAACUCCCUUCUUUCCACUGACCUCCUGUUUUGUCACGGAUCCUGCAUUUCCCCACUGCUGCCUUUCUUCAGCCACCCCUCUUAACUCUUCACCUUGCAGGACUCUGUUCCGCUUCUCAUCCAGAGACUCCCUGUCCCUUGAUGAGGAACCACAGAAUGCUCUACAAGAACACUCGCUGCGCUGGGA